GGCUGGGACGCAAAGGCACAGUUAAUUCGGCUUGGUUUUGCUCUCACCUCUUCGCUGAUUGCAGCUCACAGUAAGUACUGGUUCACACAGUUCGUUCCUUGGGUGCUCACUCGCUUUCUCUUUCUCCACAGGCAGCGGCGUAAGUACAGGUUUCCUCGGUCUCUCCUCGUGUUACCCACUCUCUCUCCUUUUCUCUCCACAGGUAUCAACUUGGGCACAAUAGCACAGUUAGUUUGCUUUGAAUGGCUCUCACCUCUGGGCUGGACACAGCGUACUGUAAGUACAGGUUUCGCUCUAUUUCUCCUCGCGUUAUCCACUCUCUCUCCUCCUCUCUACAGGUAUCAACUUGGACACAAAACACAGUUACUCUGCUUUGGAUGGCUUUCACCUCUGGGCUGGACACAACGUACUGUAAGUACAGGGUUCGCUCUAUUCCUCCUCGUGUUAUUCACUCUCUCUCCUUUUCUCUCCACAGGUAUCAACUUGGGCACAAUAGCACAGUUAGUUUGCUUUGAAUGACUCUCACCUCUGGGCUGAACACAGCGUACUGUAAGUACAGGUUUCCUCUGUUUCU
This is a long non-coding RNA of Carassius gibelio (silver crucian carp), 574 nucleotides long. RefSeq lists it as uncharacterized. The record is from RefSeq and is a predicted model, not a curated record. Lineage: Eukaryota; Metazoa; Chordata; Actinopteri; Cypriniformes; Cyprinidae. The transcript is spliced from 2 exons.